GUGCUUCCUGGGAGCGGGGGGGGGGGGGGAUAAACACCAUUCUUGGGAUACCACGAGCCAUGGCACUCCAGAUUGCUACCCUGUGAUUUCCUCCAAUGUGGGAAACUUGAAAACAUAGUUUGUGACAGUAGGGGACUGUGUUUGCAGAUUCCCUCA
Molecule: non-coding RNA, 156 nt
Organism: Myodes glareolus (Bank vole)
Lineage: Eukaryota; Metazoa; Chordata; Mammalia; Rodentia; Cricetidae
Source: RefSeq, a predicted model, not a curated record